GACGAACGCUGGCGGCGUGCUUAACACAUGCAAGUCGAACGGUGAAGGGGCCUGCUUUUGUGGGCCCUGGAUGAGUGGCGAACGGGUGAUUAACACGUUAGUAACCUGCUCCCUUCUUCUGGAUAACCGCAUGAAAGUUUGGCUAAUACGUGAUAUUCUGGGUCUGUCGCAUGAUGGGUCUGGGAAAGAUUGCGCCUUUGUGUGUUUUUGGUGGGGGAUGGGCUCGCGGCCUAUCAGCUUGUUGGUGGGGUGAUGGCCUACCAAGGCGGUGACGGGUAGCCGGCCUGAGAGGGUGGACGGUCACACUGGGACUGAGACACGGCCCAGACUCCUACGGGAGGCAGCAGUGGGGAAUAUUGCACAAGGGGCGCAAGCCUGAUGCAGCGACGCCGCGUGAGGGAUGGAGGCCUUCGGGUUGUAAACCUCUUUCGCCAGUGAAGCAGGCAUGCUCCUUGUGGGUGGGUUGACGGUAGCUGGAGAAGAAGCGCCGGCUAACUACGUG
This 502-nucleotide ribosomal RNA is filed under the name uncultured bacterium. Its description in RNAcentral is "partial 16S ribosomal RNA". It matches the Rfam family "Bacterial small subunit ribosomal RNA", at positions 28 to 507 of the family's 1533-position model. The record is from RNAcentral.